RNAcentral lists this ribosomal RNA (433 nucleotides) under uncultured bacterium. RNAcentral describes it as "partial 16S ribosomal RNA". It matches the Rfam family "Bacterial small subunit ribosomal RNA", at positions 29 to 507 of the family's 1533-position model. The record is from RNAcentral.
AACGAACGCUGGCGGCAGGCUUAACACAUGCAAGUCGAGCGCAUCCUUCGGGGUGAGCGGCGGACGGGUGAGUAACGCGUGGGAACGUGCCCUCUUCUACGGAAUAGCCUCGGGAAACUGAGAGUAAUGCCGUAUACGCCCGCAAGGGGAAAGAUUUAUCGGGGGAGGAUCGGCCCGCGUUGGAUUAGGUAGUUGGUGGGGUAACGGCCUACCAAGCCGACGAUCCAUAGCUGGUUUGAGAGGAUGAUCAGCCACACUGGGACUGAGACACGGCCCAGACUCCUACGGGAGGCAGCAGUGGGGAAUCUUGGACAAUGGGGGCAACCCUGAUCCAGCCAUGCCGCGUGAUCGAUGAAGGCCUUAGGGUUGUAAAGAUCUUUCAGCUGGGAAGAUAAUGACGGUACCAGCAGAAGAAGCCCCGGCUAACUCCGUG